GACGAACGCUGGCGGCGUGCCUAAUACAUGCAAGUAGAACGCUGAAGGAGGAGCUUGCUCUUCUGGAUGAGUUGCGAACGGGUGAGUAACGCGUAGGUAACCUGCCUGGUAGCGGGGGAUAACUAUUGGAAACGAUAGCUAAUACCGCAUAAGAGUAGAUGUUGCAUGACAUUUGCUUAAAAGGUGCAAUUGCAUCACUACCAGAUGGACCUGCGUUGUAUUAGCUAGUUGGUGGGGUAACGGCUCACCAAGGCGACGAUACAUAGCCGACCUGAGAGGGUGAUCGGCCACACUGGGACUGAGACACGGCCCAGACGCCUACGGGAGGCAGCAGUAGGGAAUCUUCGGCAAUGGACGGAAGUCUGACCGAGCAACGCCGCGUGAGUGAAGAAGGUUUUCGGAUCGUAAAGCUCUGUUGUAAGAGAAGAACGAGUGUGAGAGUGGAAAGUUCACACUGUGACGGUAGCUUACCAGAAAGGGACGGCUAACUACGUG
This 495-nucleotide ribosomal RNA is filed under the name uncultured bacterium. RNAcentral describes it as "partial 16S ribosomal RNA". It matches the Rfam family "Bacterial small subunit ribosomal RNA", at positions 28 to 507 of the family's 1533-position model. The record is from RNAcentral.